Molecule: long non-coding RNA, 2897 nt
Filed under: Homo sapiens (human)
Lineage: Eukaryota; Metazoa; Chordata; Mammalia; Primates; Hominidae
Description: HSALNT0028049
Source: RNAcentral
GACACAGGGUCUCACUUUGUCACCCAGCCUAGAAUGCAGUGGCACAAAGAUAGCUCACUGCAUAGUUGAACUCCUGGGCUCAAGAAAUCCUCCCACCUCAGCCUUUCUAGUAGCUGGAACCACAGGAAUCAGUCUGGACAGAGCUUCAGGAGCUCAAUAGACUCUGAGCUAAUGUUGUUCAUUCAGAAUCUGCAUCUUCAGACUACAAAGGGGCCCAUCAAUUUUAUCUCAGACCUGGAGCAGCUGUAUUCAAUUAACACUGUGUCACACAACCACCCAUUCUGGGACCAACCCCCAUCCUUUGUCUCCACUGAGACUUGCCUUCACUUGGAGAAAGGCCUGCAAACUCGUCAUUUAUCAGACAGACUCAGCUUUGAUAGAAAACUUUAGCCACAGAACUUGCUAUCAUAUCUGUGGGAAAUGUUCCAACCCUAAAGAUGUGUGGGCUGAUUAAAAUUUUUAUUACCCCUUAAAAAUUGAAGAUUGAAUUUAGUACAUACAGAAGCUAAGGGUAUCUUAUUUGGUUUUAAAUUUGACUGACGAAGACCUCUAGCUUCUAAGCUCCUAGUUUUUUGGAUUAACUUUUCAUACCAUAAAACCACUUAAUCAUGAAAAUGGCAGAGUUAACAUUCACACUCUCAGUUCAGAUGCUGUGAAGAAAAAGGUUGUUUCAGCCACAGGAUUAGAGGGGCAAGUACGUGGACUAGGAGUACACACAUUCUUCUUGCUUCCUGAGAGGCUCACUUAAAAUCUCUUUUGGGAAGAGAUUCCAAAUCCAAACUCCCAAGCAGAGCCUGUCUCCUCUGGGCAAUAAAGGGUGGGAUUAACUCUAGCCCCCUCAUCCUUUCCCCUUUUAUCUCAUCUUUGGUGGCCUGUGGCUCUUGUUACCCUCCCUCACUCACUAAGUCUGCUUUUCAUUAAGAAAUAUGCUGUCAAACAAUUAUACCUCAAGAUAGAGAAAUAUUUGAACCAAAGAAUCUAGGAGCUAAAAGAAAAAGCUGGUAGUAAGAUAUUCAAUAUAUUAAAAAGAAAUAGAAACUCAGUGAGAUGUGGUUCCAUUCCCUGAGAAUACCCAACAUGUCAGCUUAGGACAGAAAUGUGAUUAAAAGGCAAAUUUCCUGAGUCCCAGACUAGAACUCUGUAUUAAAGCUAUGAUUUACAACAAUGAGAAGUAGGUUUAAUUUAGUCCAUACACUAAGCCCAAUAUAAUUUGCAUGAUGAAGGAAAAUAUUUUUAAAAAGUAUUCAUGUGAGAAUAAAAUGGAGAAAUGUAUUGGGCCUUUAAACUUGUUUAAACAUCUUUUUGGGCUAUUGUAGACAGAAUUCUUAGAUGUCUCCCGAGAUUUCUGCUCCCACCCCCUGGUGUACUCAUCUGUAUAAUCCUUAAUCUUUGAAUGUGGGUGUGAACAUGAUGUGACACAACUGCCAUAAUUUGCUUACCUUAUAUGACAAAGCUUAAUGGAUCUCACAGAUAUAAUUAAGGUUCUAAUCAAUUGACUUUGUGUUAAUCAAAAAGGGUAUUUUCUUAGUUGAGCACAACCUAAUCAGGUGAAUUGUUAAAAGCAGUCAGAUAAACCUAAAGGGAAGUUCUCCUGCUGGUCUUGAAGGAGCAACCACAAUGAGUUCUACAGGUUCAAGAAAAAUAAUUCUUCCAACAAACAUGUGAGGCGGGAUGAAGACCCAGAAUAUCAGAAGAGACAGUAGCCCUAGCCGAUACUUUGUGAGAAUUGGAGCAAAGGUCCCAGGCAAGCCUUGCCCAGACACUUGACUCACCUAAACAACAAGAUAAUUAAUGGAUGUUGUUUUAACCACUAAAUUUAUGACAAUUUAUUAUACAGAAAUAGGCAACUAAUGCAGAUUUUGGUAACUGGAAGUGGGGUGCUACCGUAAUGAAAACCUAAAAAUGUAGGAGGAGCUUUGGAAUUACACAGUGGGGAGAGACUGGAGGAAUUUUGAAGAGUAUAACAGAGAAAGCUUUAAUUGCCUUGAACAGAUUGUCAGGAGAAAUGUGAACUUUGAGGGUGCUGUUGGUGAAGUCUUAGGAGGAGGUGGUGAACAUGCAUCUGGAAACUAGAGGAAGGGUCCUUGUCAUUAGGUAGUGAAAGAACGCUUAGUGAAAUUAUCUCCUGUACGUAUGUGGAAAGCAGAAGCUCUAAGUGAUGAGCCUGGUUUUUAGCAAGGGGAUUUCCAAGCUGCUUUGUGGUUUCUUGCUGCUCAUAGUAAAAUGUGAGAAGAGAGCGAUAAAUUGAGAGAAGAACUGUUAAAAAAAAAAAAAAAGUAGGACUUUACCAUUUUGAAAAUUUGGCCUGUAGCAGGUUUUGUACAACCCUGAGCUAAAAAUGUUCUUUAUAUUUUUACAAAGCUUCCAGAGUAGUUUCACUAAUUACCAAUCCUGAGGGAGGAAUCCCACUGCAUGGAGAAGAGCUAAGAUCAUCACUAUGCCAACCGCCAGGAAUAGGAGUCCAGACGUGUCUGUCCAGUGCAUCUUGGGCUACAGUUUGACCAAUAGCCUGAGUUUGGCAAGAGAGAACAUAUUCACACACAGCAAGUUAUAUGAAGUGGGUUCAUAUACAAAUAGGCAUCAAGGGAUAAAAGGAGUCUCAGGUCCAUUGUGAGCUGGUCCUUUCUCCACCAGAUUCAAGAAAGCUGCUGGGGUGGAUGGAGGAUCAAUUACAUGUGCCCCUCUUGCACCACAGCUGAAGGACCCUGACAGAGAGCCAGUCCUGGGUUAUAUACUUCAGGGGCAAUAUGAAUCACUGGGCAAAGCUUGAAAGGAUAUCAUGCUUCUAGGGUAGGGAGGAACAAAUGAUAGGCCAUCCCAGUCAGUUCCUCCUUAAAUCAAGAUGUAUUCCGCCAGGUGCGGUGGCUCACGCCUGUAAUCCCAGCCCUUUGAGAGGC